UCUUUGUAGUCUAAACGGUUCUGCUCCAGUCUAAUCAUAAAUGACACUGUAUACACAUGGACAUGGUUGCUCAGUAAUUGAAGCGUUGCUUCCUGUGACUACACAGACAUAGACGUCGUCUUUCCCUAAAGAAUCAGGCAUGCUGUCCCUGGGAAGGCUUGUGUCCUACAUAUUUUUCCUGCCACUUACCUCGGAAAACCACAAUUGUGCCAUUCCCGAGUGUGGUAACCGCGCCCACAGGACGGCCACUGCAGAGGUUCAUAUCGUUGCUCUUGCCUGCUUGGUAACUUGGCCUUUGGUUUGGUUUAGGAGUGGGCCUGCCCCAACUGGGUUUAUUAGCUGCUGGUGUCAGACGGUUUGGUAGGGGACGGUUUGGCCCAGCCUGGGGAGUUGUGGUAGGUUCAGAUGUUGUCGGAGUUGAA
Molecule: long non-coding RNA, 422 nt
Organism: Gadus macrocephalus (Pacific cod)
Lineage: Eukaryota; Metazoa; Chordata; Actinopteri; Gadiformes; Gadidae
Exons: 2
Source: RefSeq, a predicted model, not a curated record